This is a non-coding RNA of Electrophorus electricus (electric eel), 1041 nucleotides long. The record is from RefSeq and is a predicted model, not a curated record. Lineage: Eukaryota; Metazoa; Chordata; Actinopteri; Gymnotiformes; Gymnotidae.
UUUGAAACUUGAAAUACCCAUUUUUAGAGCCCAAAUAUACUGAACCCUGUUGUGAGACUUCAGCUUAUGGUUGUGUUGGAACAACAUACUCAACAUACAGGAUUUUUUAAAAAAAGACAAAAAAAGAAGAAACACAACUUAAGGGACCUCGUGCUUUAGAACUAAUUCUUGUCUGAAUAUACACUUGUUGUUCCACUUUGCCAGAAAAGCUAGGGCGUGGUAUCCUUAUGUUGUACAGCUAAAGCAUUAUACAAAGUUAAGAAACACCACUGGAUCAUGUUUCCUUAGAGCUAGAAGAAAGGAAUUGGACAUCAGCUUUCUCAAACUCUGACAUUGUGGAAUUCAUAUUUCACUCAUUAGCCAGGAUCAGCAAUAGUCCAGUACACACAGACACCGAGGACACUGGAACAAUAGCAAGAGAACUGUGCUUCAGUCCAGAGUCGAGAGGAGAAGGUGAAGUCUGGGAAGUACCCUGGGCAUAAGCAAGAUGCCUGGCUUAGAAGGGAAAUAGUCCAGAUCAAGAACAAACAUGCAGAUAAGUCACUUGAAGAUUCUGGCAGAGCAGCAACAAUCACAAGAUGCCUGGGAGAGAUGAUUGUCAAAGACCUCCAGCCUCUGUCCAUAGAGGAAGAGGUGGCCUGAACAUACGACCCAUCAGGGGCAGAAAUGCCUGCUCUGGUAGUGUGGGGAGCUACCGUAAUGGCCAGUGUGAAACAGUGUGUGAUGAUCACUGGGACAUGAAGGAUGCAGAGGUGUUGUGCAGACAGCUGGGAUGUGGCCGAGCUCUCAGGGAAGUGGUCCGAUAUUUCUGGAUGAUGAUGGUUGUUCUGGAAGUGAAGGCUCCCUUACACAGUGCUCUCAUCUUGGAUCACACAACUGUAAUCAGGGUGAAGAUUUUGGUGUAACAUGUUCAGAUCCACUGACAGGAUUUCCAGCCUGAUUGAGACUCCGGCCAACUGUGUCGGCUAUUUAAAGGCCCCUCACAGAAGAGCAGAGAGAGAAGAGAGUGAAAGAAGACUGUGUUAGUUUGGAGUUGUUUUG